RNAcentral lists this ribosomal RNA (501 nucleotides) under uncultured bacterium. Its description in RNAcentral is "bacterial SSU rRNA". It matches the Rfam family "Bacterial small subunit ribosomal RNA", at positions 28 to 511 of the family's 1533-position model. The record is from RNAcentral.
GAUGAACGCUAGCUACAGGCUUAACACAUGCAAGUCGAACGGAGUUAAACGCUGAAUUGAUGGUAGCUUGCUAUUGGAUUUUCUUGUUUAACUUAGUGGCGGACGGGUGAGUAACACGUGAGCAACCUGCCUUUUCAGAGGGGAUAAACGGCUGGAAACGGUCGCUAAUACCGCAUGACAUAUUCGUAGUGGCAUCACUUGGAUAUCAAAGGAGCAAUCCGCUGAAAGAUGGGCUCGCGUCUGAUUAGAUAGUUGGUGGGGUAACGGCCUACCAAGUCGACGAUCAGUAGCCGGACUGAGAGGUUGAACGGCCACAUUGGGACUGAGAUACGGCCCAGACUCCUACGGGAGGCAGCAGUGGGAAAUAUUGCACAAUGGGGAAACCCUGAUGCAGCAACGCCGCGUGAAGGAAGACGGUUUUCGGAUUGUAAACUUCUUUUCUUAGUGAAGAGCAAGUGACGGUAGCUAAAGGAAAUAAGCAAUCGGCUAACUACGUGCCAG